This 518-nucleotide ribosomal RNA is filed under the name uncultured bacterium. Its description in RNAcentral is "bacterial SSU rRNA". It matches the Rfam family "Bacterial small subunit ribosomal RNA", at positions 8 to 526 of the family's 1533-position model. The record is from RNAcentral.
AGAGUUUGAUCAUGGCUCAGGAUGAACGCUAGCGGCAGGCUUAACGCAUGCAAGUCGAGGGGUAUGUAGUUUUCGGAUUACAGAGACCGGCAAACGGGUGCGGAACACGUACACAACCUACCUUUAUCAGGGGAAUAGCCCAGAGAAAUUUGGAUUAAUGCCCCAUAGUAUUAUUUGAUGGCAUCAUUAGAUAAUUAAAGAACUUCGGAUAGAGAUGGGUGUGCGUAAGAUUAGCUAGUUGGUAGGGUAACGGCCUACCAAGGCAACGAUCUUUAGCUGAUGUGAGAGCAUGAUCAGCCACACGGGCACUGAGACACGGGCCCGACUCCUACGGGAGGCAGCAGUGAGGAAUAUUGGGCAAUGGACGGAAGUCUGACCCAGCCAUGCCGCGUGAAGGAUGAAGGCGUUCUGCGUUGUAAACUUCUUUUAUCAGGGAAGAAACCACUGUAUUCUUAUGGUGUUGACGGUACCUGAUGAAUAAGCACCGGCUAACUCCGUGCCAGCCGCCGCGGUAAUAC